RNAcentral lists this transfer RNA (78 nucleotides) under Mycolicibacterium smegmatis. Its description in RNAcentral is "tRNA-???(tgcg)". The record is from RNAcentral. Lineage: Bacteria; Bacillati; Actinomycetota; Actinomycetes; Mycobacteriales; Mycobacteriaceae.
UGGCGCCUGCGACGCGGUGUCGUAGGCGCCUUGCGACGCGCCGUAGGUGUAGGGCGGGUUCGAUUCCGGCGGCGGCGA